This 433-nucleotide ribosomal RNA is filed under the name uncultured bacterium. RNAcentral describes it as "partial 16S ribosomal RNA". It matches the Rfam family "Bacterial small subunit ribosomal RNA", at positions 29 to 506 of the family's 1533-position model. The record is from RNAcentral.
AGCGAACGCUGGCGGCAGGCCUAACACAUGCAAGUCGAACGAACCUUUCGGGGUUAGUGGCGGACGGGUGAGUAACACGUGGGAACGUGCCUUUAGGUUCGGAAUAACUCAGGGAAACUUGUGCUAAUACCGAAUGUGCCCUUCGGGGGAAAGAUCUAUCGCCUUUAGAGCGGCCCGCGUCUGAUUAGCUAGUUGGUUGAGGUAAUGGCUCACCAAGGCGACGAUCAGUAGCUGGUCUGAGAGGAUGAUCAGCCACAUUGGGACUGAGACACGGCCCAAACUCCUACGGGAGGCAGCAGUGGGGAAUCUUGCGCAAUGGGCGAAAGCCUGACGCAGCCAUGCCGCGUGAAUGAUGAAGGUCUUAGGAUUGUAAAAUUCUUUCACCGGGGACGAUAAGGACGGUACCCGGAGAAGAAGCCCCGGCUAACUUCGU